This 453-nucleotide ribosomal RNA is filed under the name uncultured bacterium. Its description in RNAcentral is "bacterial SSU rRNA". It matches the Rfam family "Bacterial small subunit ribosomal RNA", at positions 338 to 782 of the family's 1533-position model. The record is from RNAcentral.
UCUACGGGGGGCGGCAGUGGGGAAUAUUGCGCAAUGGGCGAAAGCCUGACGCAGCAACGCCGCGUGAGUGAUGAAGGCUUUCGGGUCGUAAAGCUCUGUCGAGGGGAAAGAAGUGUACUUUGGCUAAUAUCCAUUGUACUUGACGGUACCCCUAAAGGAAGCACCGGCUAACUCCGUGCCAGCAGCCGCGGUAAUACGGGGGGUGCAAGCGUUGUUCGGAAUUAUUGGGCGUAAAGCGCGUGUAGGCGGUUUGAUUAGUCUGAUGUGAAAGCCCUGGGCUCAACCCAGGAAGUGCAUUGGAAACUGUCAGACUUGAAUACGGGAGAGGGUAGUGGAAUUCCUAGUGUAGGAGUGAAAUCCGUAGAUAUUAGGAGGAACACCGGUGGCGAAGGCGGCUACCUGGACCGAUAUUGACGCUGAGACGCGAAAGCGUGGGUAGCAAACAGGAUUAGA